RNAcentral lists this long non-coding RNA (4528 nucleotides) under Homo sapiens (human). Its description in RNAcentral is "PELO antisense RNA 1, transcript variant 3 (PELO-AS1)". Lineage: Eukaryota; Metazoa; Chordata; Mammalia; Primates; Hominidae. The record is from RNAcentral.
AAGCUGUGAGGCGCUCCGGACGAAUGAACUCCCUCAAGAAGGUGCACAGAGUGGUGGCGAGUCCUUUAUUUUAAUGCCAAACUUCAACUUCCUAAGUUUUCUCUUCCAUCCCUGUCUGUGAAGAAUCCGGGGAGUGUGUGAGUGCAAAUACUAGUUUUACCUGCCUGCGGCUGCCACUGCAACGCUUCCCUCUGGAUGAAAACGUCUAGUUGCAGGAAAACAGGCUGAGGGCUCCCACUGAUUCUACAUUAUGUGUUUUAAUUGACAUACUCAUGUACCUAAUCGGGUACACAGAGUGCAACAAAAGCACAUGUAAUGGACACUUAGCCCAGUAUAAGGAAGUUAGCAAAAGGUUCUCAGAAGCGGAAACCUCCAAGAUGAGACCUCAAAGCUGAGAUCUGAGAAGCCCAUCUGUAAAUGAUGAAGAAAAAACAUCAGACCCCAAGUUCUUCAGCUUUUGGACUCUUGGACUUACACCAGCGGUUUGCCAGGGGCUCUCAGGCCUUUGGCCAGAGACUAAAGGCUGCACUGUCAGCUUCCUUACUUUUGAGGUUUUGAGACUGGGACUGAUCCACCACUGGCUUCCUCGCUCCUCAACUUGCAGACGACAUAUCGUGGGAGUUUACCUCUUGAUCGAAUUCGUAAGGACCACAUUGGAUGCAGCAGAUAUAAAUGACCAGACACACAUCAAGUACACCUCAGACCACACUCAGGAUUCAGCUGCGUCCUUCUGAAUGUGAAAAGGAAGACCUGACACAAAGGGAUACAAAAUAUCAAUACCUUCCAUUCUCCCUGUGUCUCAGUCCCCUGAAUCACCAAGGGGCGAUUAGAUUCGAGAUGGCUUGAAAUAUGUUGACUGAGACACUAAUGUGGAAUUAGUAGGCCUGGAAAAGAAGAAAUAGAUCUGCAGAAAAACAUGCAAUUCUGGAUUAGUAAGCAGCUUAGAAAUAUUUAUUCAGUGCUUACUAGUCACAAACAGAAGCUAUAUGUAACUGGAGUGGAAACUUCGCACAUUUCCAGCAAGUGGACAGGAUUUAACUUAGUGACCCCAGUCUGCAGAGGGCAGCUGACCUCAAUAUUUAAUCAUAGCUCACUGGACACAACAAUGAAAUUCUAAGUAGUAAAAGAGGUACAACCAAAAAAUGAAAAGAGCUUACUCACCUACAUGAAGGCUGAGAAAAUUCUUCCAGCUCAUAGCUCAGGGAAGAAAGGUGUUUUGUCACAUGCAUUUUGAAAAGGGUACUGCAUUUGGGACACUCCCAAAUUCUGAAGUUUCUGGCUUUACACGAAUGUCUGUGGUCACACUUAGUUUCAGGAAAAGUUAACACAACUGAAAUGUAGGUUAUAAAGUCUGUAUUUUAGCAGAAGUUUUGAAAGACUUCUGCUAAAGGAGACUUCAUACAGGAAUACCUAAAGAAUCUUCUUCAGUAUUUUUUUUCUUUUCCAUCAACAAGCAAGGAUGGCCGAUUAUCUCCAAUCCUGGGCUGUGGCAUUAGAUAUGGCUCCUCAGAAGCUUAGGACCUCAGCACCUUUCUUUUUGUCUAAAUCCCUGGAAGCUUUUAAUAAUUUUGUCUUGUCCUAGCAUUGCUCAGGCAACUAACUCCAGCUGAGCAGAAGAAGAAGAACAUUUAAGCAUAACCUCUGUAAGGAAGUUUAUAGUAGACCACCCAGAGCUCGGAGCAGCCUGCCCCCUACCUUUUUCCUGAGAAAUAUAGGAAGAUUUAUAGGACUAGACAUUCAGCUUAUAAAUAGGAAAUUCACUUUGGGAAUUCCCUUGAGAUAAGCCAGGAAUGUAUUUGUCAGCCAACAUAGAAGCACUUCAGCUUUUGCCUUCGAAUACCUCAAGAACAGUAAAAAUUAACCCUGAGGAAAAGAGCACUUGUUAGUCUUGCAAAAUCCUUUCUCCCCUGUAGAAGUAUCCCUAGCAGGACCCUAGGACUGAUUGUGGGUGUGGUCACUUCCCCAGAGAUAACAGCUCCUUCACAGAAAGGAAAUGUAAGACCUCAGGUCCUUGGGAAUGCUAAUUCUCCUGAAAUCAGGUUGAUGGGUGUGCUCCCUUCCCUGGGAGGCAGUUUUGAAAUUGGCAAGGCAUUUUGUUUGUCUUAGUGAUGGGAGGUGUGGUACAGACACAAAUUCUUUGCUACUUUUUCCAUUGAAAGAUGAGGCCAGCCUGGGGCAGAGGGUCAUGGCUGUAAUCCCAGCACUUUGGGAGGCCGAAGAGGGAGGAUCACUUGAGCCCAGGAAUUAGACAACAGCCUGCGCAACGUGGUGAAACCUUGUCUCUACUAAAAAUACAAAAAAUUAACCAGGCUGUGCCUAUUGUCCCAGCUACUCGGGAGGCUGAGUUGGGAAGAACAUCUGAACCCAGGAAAUCGAGGCUGCAGUGAGCCACGAUCACACCAUGCCACGGCACUCCAGCCUGGGCAACAGGAUGAGACCUUGUCUCACACACACACACAAAAAGAAAGGGCUGGAAUCUGAGUAGCUGAGGUGCUUAUGUGACUACAUGCCUACAUCACUGACCCCCAAUAAACACCUUGGACACAAGACUCAGGCUGCUUCAUCGAUACUUUCUUAUUUUAUGUUAUGAUGCAUCAAAGUGAACUCUGAUCCCUUCAAACAGAAUCAUUGCUUUCAGAUAAAGAAACCUCAGAUCAAAUAUAAGCAUCAAAAUCUACAAAGAUUUUAGAGGGUGAAGAAACACGGAAAGAUCUCUGGUGAUGGAGCCAGCAUUGAUGAACCAAGAAAAGUCUUAAACGUGAAGAAGCCUGUGAUAAACAAGGACUGUGCCCAGGGGAAUAACAAGGAAGAAAAAUGUCAGAAGAAUUAGUUUCUCUCUAAUUGAACAAAUGUAUUUAUAUUUCCUUGUUGAUAGGCAUAGAUUCUCAAUGAGAAACUGAAACUUAUGAAGUUACAUUUAAGACUCCAGUUGUGACAAUGAUGACCAAUGCUCUUUGGUAUUACGUUUUCCAAUUCAACACAGGAAAUGAGUUGGAAUUUGUUUUGCAGUUUUUUUUUCAGCCUGUUUUGUGGAGUAUUUUUUCCUGUGAUCUGUAGAAACACAAUGAUAACAUUACGAACUUUGCCAGUCAUUGGCCCAUCAAAAAUGUUUGUAUGCUUGAAUGGGCAAGAAAUUACAUUUGAUGGAGUCCCAUGUGCCUCAUUAACUAAAUUUUUCUUUUCGGUUAUUAUUAAAGGACAGUAGGUGGCCAGGCACGAUGGCUCAUUCCUGUAAUCCCAGCAGUUCAGGAGGCCAAGGUGGGCAGAUCAUGAGGUCAGGAGACCAAGACCAUCCUGGCCAACACGGUGAAAUCCCGUCUCUACUAAAAAUACAAAAAUUAGCCAGGUGUGGUGGUGUGUGCCUGUAAUCCCAGCUACUAGGAGGCUGAGGCAGGAGAAUCUCUCUAACCAGGGAUUCGGAGGUUGCAGUGAGCCGAGAUUGCGCCACUACCCUCCAGCCAGGCAAUAGAGCGAGAGUCUGUCUCCAAAAAAAAAAGACUGUAGGUAUGAGAUCAGACGUGACUUUUAACUUUUAACUUUUAACUUUCAUGUUCUUCAUCUUCCAUUCUUGCCACAAAAAGACUGCCGUUUCCUUCUUCACAUUCAAUGUGUCUCAUGGGUCAGAGAAUCUGUGUGGUUACACUCUUAACUAGUACAGCCACUGUUCUUCGACUACUUAAACGCUCUUAUCCUUCCACUCAGUCAUCCAUUUGACCCCAUUUCCUUUAUAUUCUAUGCAGAAUUACAUGUGCAAUUAGGGUUUGUUUUCAUUAUUACUGUUAUUAUUAUAAUCACUAUUUGCCAAUUCUGUUGAUUACCCUUUCCAUUUGUUUUUCAACAAAACUCUCUCUGUACACCAACAACACUGCCUCAAUCUUUUAAUCUACCAGAAAAAAAAUUCAACUCCAUAAGCAAUUGGAUCAAUAAUAGUAGGAAUUCACAAUUUUCAGUCUCAGUGGUUUCCUUCAACAUUAAACUCCUUUUUAUUUUGAUUGUCCAUUACUUCAUAACUUUGAAAUCCUCUUUCAAUUUCUCUAAUGUAAUUUGACCAAGAUUGUGGCUCGCAAGACUGAACUUUUUUGAAAUAUGGACAUGGGGAGUCCCCACAUUUUGCUAGACUACAUCUUGGAGGGUGCUUGGAAAGCAGAAAUGGUGGGAAAUCGUUUUAUUUUCUGUUUGCAAAAGCCACUUUGCAACUUGUGGUUAUCCUAUUCUAUCACCAAGCUCCUGCCUGUAUUUACAGUGGGCUUUGAAGAACCAGCUGCUGAAAGUGAUAAAUCAGCAGCUGAAAAUGAUGAAUGCGAGACUGAUUGGAACUCAAAGUGAAAUAUAGGUGCUUGUCAACAAUGUUAGAUUGGUAACUUGAGGUGGCAAAGAGUGGUGACUGCUGGCAAAAUGUAUGAAUAUAUGUAUUAUAGUAGCAAUUAUACUUGCUUAUUUCAAUGUUUUUGAAGUCUUCUUAUUUAUAGAACAUUCUGGCUUUUUAUUUUGAGGAGCACUGCUAACAAUAAAUCAGAACCAACAUUUA